CUCAGGAUGAACGCUGGCGGCGUGCUUAACACAUGCAAGUCGAACGAGCCUUCGGGCUAGUGGCGGACGGGUGAGUAACGCGUGGGAAUCUGCCCUCAGGAGGGGGAUAACGGCCGGAAACGGCCGCUAAUACCCCAUAUGCCGAGAGGUGAAAUGAAUUUCGCCUGAGGAUGAGCCCGCGUCUGAUUAGCUAGUUGGUGUGGUAAUGGCGCACCAAGGCGACGAUCAGUAGCUGGUCUGAGAGGAUGAUCAGCCACACUGGGACUGAGACACGGCCCAGACUCCUACGGGAGGCAGCAGUGGGGAAUUUUCCGCAAUGGGCGAAAGCCUGACGGAGCAACGCCGCGUGAGGGAUGAAGGCCUCUGGGCUGUAAACCUCUUUUCUCAAGGAAGAAGACAUGACGGUACUUGAGGAAUAAGCCACGGCUAAUUCCGUGCCAGCAGCCGCGGUAAUACGGGAGUGGCAAGCGUUAUCCGGAAUUAUUGGGCGUAAAGCGUCCGCAGGCGGCCUUGUAAGUCUGUCGUUAAAGCGUGGAGCUUAACUCCAUUUCAGCGAUGGAAACUACAAGGCUUGAGUGUGGUAGGGGCAGAGGGAAUUCCCGGUGUAGCGGUGAAAUGCGUAGAUAUCGGGAAGAACACCAGUGGCGAAGGCGCUCUGCUGGGCCAUAACUGACGCUCAUGGACGAAAGCCAGGGGAGCGAAAGGGAUUAGAUACCCCUGUAGUCCUGGCCGUAAACGAUGAACACUAGGUGUCGGGGGAAUCGACCCCCUCGGUGUCGUAGCUAACGCGUUAAGUGUUCCGCCUGGGGAGUACGCACGCAAGUGUGAAACUCAAAGGAAUUGACGGGGGCCCGCACAAGCGGUGGAGUAUGUGGUUUAAUUCGAUGCAACGCGAAGAACCUUACCAGGGUUUGACAUCCUGCGAAUCCCUUGGAAACGAGGGAGUGCCUUCGGGAGCGCAGAGACAGGUGGUGCAUGGCUGUCGUCAGCUCGUGUCGUGAGAUGUUGGGUUAAGUCCCGCAACGAGCGCAACCCACGUCUUUAGUUGCCAGCAUUCAGUUGGGCACUCUAGAGAGACCGCCGGUGAUAAACCGGAGGAAGGUGUGGAUGACGUCAAGUCAUCAUGCCCCUUACAUCCUGGGCUACACACGUACUACAAUGCUACGGACAAAGGGUUGCAAGCUCGCGAGAGUUAGCUAAUCCCAUAAACCGUGGCUCAGUUCAGAUCGUAGGCUGCAACUCGCCUACGUGAAGGAGGAAUCGCUAGUAAUCGCAGGUCAGCAUACUGCGGUGAAUACGUUCCCGGGCCUUGUACACACCGCCCGUCACACCAUGGAAGUUGGCCAUGCCCGAAGUCGUUACUCCAACCCUUGUGGAGGAGGACGCCGAAGGUGGGGCUGAUGACUGGGGUGAAGUCGU
RNAcentral lists this ribosomal RNA (1419 nucleotides) under Cyanobium sp. CAWBG721. RNAcentral describes it as "bacterial SSU rRNA". It matches the Rfam family "Bacterial small subunit ribosomal RNA". Lineage: Bacteria; Bacillati; Cyanobacteriota; Cyanophyceae; Synechococcales; Prochlorococcaceae. The record is from RNAcentral.